UACGUAGGGGGCGAGCGUUGUCCGGAUUCAUUGGGCGUAAAGAGCUCGUAGGCGGUUCAGUAAGUCGGGUGUGAAAUCUCCGUGCUCAACACGGAGCGGCCACCUGAUACUGCUGUGACUCGAGUCCGGUAGGGGAGUGUGGAAUUCCCGGUGUAGCGGUGAAAUGCGCAGAUAUCGGGAGGAACACCAGUAGCGAAGGCGGCACUCUGGGCCGUGACUGACGCUGAGGUGCGAAAGCGUGGGGAGCAAACAGG
RNAcentral lists this ribosomal RNA (254 nucleotides) under uncultured bacterium. RNAcentral's name for it is "partial 16S ribosomal RNA". It matches the Rfam family "Bacterial small subunit ribosomal RNA", at positions 524 to 776 of the family's 1533-position model. The record is from RNAcentral.